UUGGAAGUAAAAGUCGUAACAAKGUUUCUGUAGGUGAACCUGCGGAAGCGUCAAUG
This 56-nucleotide ribosomal RNA is filed under the name Mammillaria melanocentra. RNAcentral's name for it is "partial 18S ribosomal RNA". It matches the Rfam family "Eukaryotic small subunit ribosomal RNA". The record is from RNAcentral. Lineage: Eukaryota; Viridiplantae; Streptophyta; Magnoliopsida; Caryophyllales; Cactaceae.